RNAcentral lists this ribosomal RNA (111 nucleotides) under Parabacteroides sp. OttesenSCG-928-N08. The record is from RNAcentral. Lineage: Bacteria; Pseudomonadati; Bacteroidota; Bacteroidia; Bacteroidales; Tannerellaceae.
UUAGGCGGCUAUAGCGUCGGGGUUCCACCUCUUCCCAUUCCGAACAGAGAAGUUAAGCCCGAUUGCGCCGAUGGUACUGCGUAAAAGUGGGAGAGUAGGUCGCUGCCGGUU